GAGGGUAUGGCUCAGUGGUAGCGUGAGUGCCCAGCAUGCAUGAGGCCUGAGGUUCAAUCCCCAGUACCUCCA
Molecule: transfer RNA, 72 nt
Filed under: Camelus bactrianus (Bactrian camel)
Lineage: Eukaryota; Metazoa; Chordata; Mammalia; Artiodactyla; Camelidae
Also listed under: 2 other names
Rfam family: tRNA
About the family: Transfer RNA (tRNA) molecules are approximately 80 nucleotides in length. Their secondary structure includes four short double-helical elements and three loops (D, anti-codon, and T loops). Further hydrogen bonds mediate the characteristic L-shaped molecular structure. tRNAs have two regions of fundamental functional importance: the anti-codon, which is responsible for specific mRNA codon recognition, and the 3' end, to which the tRNAs corresponding amino acid is attached (by aminoacyl-tRNA synthetases). tRNAs cope with the degeneracy of the genetic code in two manners: having more than one tRNA (with a specific anti-codon) for a particular amino acid; and 'wobble' base-pairing, i.e. permitting non-standard base-pairing at the 3rd anti-codon position.
Source: Rfam by way of RNAcentral